AUACGUAGGUGACAAGCGUUAUCCGGAAUUACUGGGCGUAAAGCGCACGCAGGCGGCUGCUUAAGUCUGACGUGAAAUCUCCUGGCUUAACUGGGAGGGGUCGUUGGAAACUGAGUGGCUUGAGGUGGUGAGAGGGGUGCAGAAUUCCCGGUGUAGUGGUGGAAUGCGUAGAUAUCGGGAGGAAUACCAGUGGCGAAAGCGGCACCCUGGCACUAACCUGACGCUCAUGUGCGAAAGCGUGGGUAGCAAACGGGAUUAGAUACCCCGGUAGUCCACGCUGUAAACGAUGAGUACUAGGUGUGGGUGGAGUCAAAUCCAUCUGUGCCGAAGCAAACGCGCUAAGUACUCCGCCUGGGGAGUACGGCCGCAAGGCUAAA
RNAcentral lists this ribosomal RNA (377 nucleotides) under uncultured bacterium. Its description in RNAcentral is "bacterial SSU rRNA". It matches the Rfam family "Bacterial small subunit ribosomal RNA", at positions 523 to 898 of the family's 1533-position model. The record is from RNAcentral.